UCGCUAGUAAUCGCGGAUCAGAAUGCCGCGGUGAAUACGUUCCCGGGUCUUGUACACACCGCCCGUCACACCAUGGGAGUCGGAAAUGCCCGAAGUCUGUGACCCAACCUACGGGAGGGAGCAGCCGAAGGCAGGUCGGAUGACUGGGGUGAAGUCGUAACAAGGUAUC
RNAcentral lists this ribosomal RNA (169 nucleotides) under uncultured bacterium. RNAcentral describes it as "partial 16S ribosomal RNA". It matches the Rfam family "Bacterial small subunit ribosomal RNA", at positions 1332 to 1500 of the family's 1533-position model. The record is from RNAcentral.